Molecule: long non-coding RNA, 6485 nt
Organism: Pongo pygmaeus (Bornean orangutan)
Lineage: Eukaryota; Metazoa; Chordata; Mammalia; Primates; Hominidae
Exons: 3
Source: RefSeq, a predicted model, not a curated record
AGCGAGACGUGGGAGGAGCCGCGAGGUCACCAGACCAUCUCCCGGCGCGGGUGGAAUUCCCGCGAUCGGUUUCAUUCCCUGCGCCGCCGAGAAAAGUGAGAUCCCGCGAGACUCCCAGGGUCUGGUCUCUCAAGAGCGCUGGAAACAUGGAGUCUGUCUCUGUUGCCCAAGCUGGAGUGUGUUGGCACCAUCUUGGUUUACUGCAACUUCCACCUCCCAGGCUCAAGUGAUUCUCGUGCCUCAGCCUCAAGGGCUGGAGUGCAGUGGCAUGAUCUCACCUCACUGAAAACCUCCACCUCCAGGGUUCAAGUGAUUCUGCUACCUCAGCCUCCCAAAUAGCUGGGACUAUAGGUGUGUGCCACCUUGCCCGCUAAUUUUUGUAUUUUUAGUAGAGACGGGGUUUCACCAUGCUAGCCAGGCUGGUCUCGAACUCCUGACCUCAGGUGAUCUACCCACCUCAGCCUUCCAAAGUGCUAGGUUUACAGGCAUGAGCCACCACACCUGGCCUGAGUUUCUUAUAUACUUUGGAUGUUAACCUCUUAUCAGAUAUGUGGUUUACAAAUAUUUUCUUCCAUUCCUUUGGUUGUCUCUUCACUCUGUUGAUUGUUUUUUUUUUUCCCGUGCAGAAGCUAUUUAGUUUGAUGUAAUUCCAUUUAUAUAUUUUUGUAACCUGUGCUUUUGGGGUCAUAUCCAAAAAACCCUUGCUAAUAUCAUGGAACAUUUCUCUUAAGUUUUCUUUUAGUAGUUUUUUAGUUUCAGGUCUUACAUUUAAGUUUGUAAUACAUUUUAAGUUGAUUUUUGAAUAUGGUGUGAGACAAAAUUCUGAUUUCAUUCUACUGUAUGUGGUUAUUCAGUUUUCUCAGCAACAUGUAUUGAAGAGACCGCCCUUUCCCCUUUGGCACUUUUGUCAAAAAUCAAUUGACCACAAAUGUAUUGAUUUAGUUCUGGGCUCUAUUUUGUUCUACUAGUAUGUCUGAUUUCACGUGUCAACCUCAAAAAUCUGAGACAGGUCUCAGUGAAUUCAGAAAGUUUAUUUUGCAAAGGUUGAAAAUGUGUGCCUGUGAUACAGCCUCAGGAGGUUGUGAUGAUGUGUGCCCAAGGUGGUUGGGGCAUAGCUUGUUUUUUUUUUGUUUUGUUUUGUUUUGUUUUGUUUUGAGACAGAGUCUUACUCUGUUGCCCAGGCUGGAGUGCAGUGGUGCAAUCUUGGUUCACCGCAACCUCCGCCUCCCAGGUUCAAGCAGUUCUCUGCCUCAGCCUCCUGAGUAGCUUGGAUUACAGGCGCCCACCACUUGCCUGGCUAAUUUUUGUAUUUUUAGUAGAGACACGGUUUCACCAUCUUUGCCAGGUUGGUCUUGAACUCCUGACCUCAUGAUCCACCCUCCUCGACCUCCCAAAGUGCUGGGAUUACAGGUAUGAGCCACCACAUCUGGCUGGUUUUAUACAUUUUAGGGAGACAUAAGACAUUAAUCAGUAUACGUAAGAUAUACAUUGGUUCCAUCAGGAAAGGUGGGACCACUCAAGCACAGAGGAUGCUUUCAGGUCACAGGUAGGUGAGAGACAAAUGGCUGCAUUUUUUUUGAGUUUCUGAUUAGCCUUUCCAAAGGAGGUAAUCAGAUAUGGCAUUUAUCUCAGUGAGCGGAGGGAUGACUUCAAAUCGAAUGGGAGGCAGGCUUGCCCUAAGCAGUUUUCAGCUUGACUUUUCCCUUUAGUUCAGUGAUUUUUGGGCUCUAAGAUUUAUUUUCCUUUCACAUUUCCCCCCUUUUCUUUUUUUAAAAUCUUUUGGAGAAAGCAUUUUAGAAGAAAGCAAGUCUCUGGUCUCAGGUUUUCUCUGAUCAUUCAUGGCUAGGAUGGUUUAUUCCUAGAUGUGUAGGUCCUGAGUUAAGAAAGCAAUUUUUAGCAGGUUAGAAUUCUCAUGUUCUAUGAAGAGAAAAUAGGGAGAAAAAGGGAGAAAAACAACAACAAACAAAAGAACAAUCCUGGAAAAUCAGUAUAGGCCACAUUACUCUGAAGUCUAUACAUCAGUAGGCAGGAAUGAAAGUGGCUUAUGUAAGUAAAUAGGUUGCUGUUACUUUCUUCUGAUGUUUAAGUUGUCCAGAUUCAGUUUGCAGGGCUUUAAGAAAUCACAUCUUAGUUUUCAGUGAUUUCAAAUUAGGAAAAUAAAAAAAGGAAAAGAAAGAAGAAAAGUAUUGAAAACAUUAUUUUGGAGACCAGUAACCAGGAAAAAUUAGAAUUCAGUUCAAACUGUUGAAAAUGAUAAAAAUUGAAAAACAGGCAAGACUAGAAUCUAAGAAUAGGUGUACUAUAGUUUUUGAAACAUAAUUUUUCUCUCUCUAGUUUCCCAUUUUUACUAAAGACAAGUCAUGAUGAGACCAAUUUGGCUUAGUAUACUUGACCAGCUUAUUUGUAUGAAGUGCAGCAAGAAAAAUGAUUUUUUCAAUAGGCUUUUAAAAUUGGCUUUGAUGGAACUUUGUUUCAUAGAAGGAAUCUCAGAUAAGACUUUUUAAAGCCAAGCACAGCCAUGGAUUUGUACCAUCAAAUACUCAUGAAUUGUCUGAAUUCUCCUCUUGAGGCUUUAAGAUAACUUGGGGCCCUGGGCCUGUCAGAAAAUGACAGUCUCUACUUACUACAGGUCAGGAACCCUGUUCAGGAACUGUAUAGAUGAGGUGUGGGCCAGUUUUCUCAAGGAGCUUUUAUUGGCUCUGUAAGUCAAGUUGGAUUCCUUAAAGGAAAGCACACCAUUCUGGUCAAAGCCUUGGUAAAAUAACCAGAGUCUCAAAUUGUGUCCUGUUACAAAUGAAAACAGAUUCUUACUCUGCUUAUGCAAUAACUAUAUUGCCAUAAGUUAAGAAUACUCACAAAUAGCUUCAAAAUUAUGGAGAAAUCAGGUAGAGAGAAACAGAUAUGUUCCAGAUUUUGUUCAUAGGAGUAUACUUAAUUGUUAAAAGCUGUCAAUAGCUCAAAAGAAAGGUUUCUUUGACUGAAAAAACAGCAACAUUUUAAGUAAAAAGUCAAAAAGAUUACUUCAGUCUUCUAUUAGUUCAGUCCAUGCAGUUAACUUUUAUUUUGCUUGAUAUUCAUGAACAUUUCAGCUCUGUUUGAGUCCUAAAAGUUUUUCCUCUAUUCUGAUGUUGCAGCCUCCAAAGUUACCAGAAACUUGCAUUGAGGAGCACCUAUUAAGAGUUUUAUAGCUGAUUUUAAAACCACCUUCUAAAGAGGACCAAAACAACAAUUGUCCAUGGAUGACAAAAAAUGUUAGAGCAGUCAUAGUCAAAGACACAAUUGAGAAGAAAACUUGUUACCUCUGUGGCAUACAAUAAUUUAACAUAAUUAUAAUUAUUACUGAUAACAUACACUAAGUCAUAUCAGAAUUGUAGGAGUUUUUCAUAAUUUUGGAACACAUCAAUAAUAUAUUUAUACAAAUACAGCCCAAAGAAAACCAAACAGCAUUUCAUAUUUGACAAUGUUAACUGUAUAAUUUUUAUACCAAAAAACCCCCAUAUAUAUCAUUUUUGGACUUUAGGGAACUUUAUACCUUAAAGGAUUAAUUAUGUCAGAAAAAGACAUAAUUUAUAAUUUCACUUUGGAAAGUUUGUCAAAUAUCAAAGGUUUAAAACACUCAAUAUUACAAAAUGGGAUUAGAGGUCAUUGUAAAAUAUGUUAUUCAUUUAACUGAAGUGAUAACUUAAGGAUUUCAAAAAAGGGUGAAAACCUUCAUUCUUUCAGAGAGGAGACUUAAUUUUCCAAAUGAUAAGCCCUAAUAAAAACAGCAUGAAGCCAAUUAAAUUUGUUUUUCAAAAUUCUAUAAACAAUCUAUAAAAUUUUAAUGUUAAUCAUAAGAUAUAACUUCCAUAAACUUUUUAUAACAUUUAUAACCUUUAUUAGGGAGUCAGUUAAUGCUUUAAGAAAACCUUGUUAAUCUGACACAGGGGCCCAUGUGCUGGUCUUGCAUUUGUGUGCCUUUGACAUUAAAGGUUAAUUUAUAGAGAAACUGAACUAUUUUAUCUCUCAAAAUCAGCCCAUACAAUCUCACAUGCCCAUCUCUUCCUUGAUAGUCCCUUGGCCUUGAGGAGUUGAAUAGCUUUAAUUUCUGUGUCUCAGGAAUGCAGUUUAUUUUGAUUGGCAUCUUUUACCAGGCCUGAAGAUGAGGCUUUAAUUACUGUCAGUGUUUAAGAUUUAGCAGGACUUGGUGUCCUUUUUAGACCCAGGAGUCAAGGACUUAUAAAUCAAUGUCACAAGGACUCUAAAAGCACAUACAGAAAGAUAUAUGGAUGUAAUAACUUUAAUUUAAAAAAUUGUUUUAAUCUCAGUUUUUUCCUAAGCAAACCAAAACUUAAUAAUAAUGGCAUAGGAAUUGUUUCAAUAAACCAUAAAAUUUGUUAGGCCAGUUACCAAAAGGCAAAAGAAAACACCUUCUGCACUGCACAGAAUAUUACAUUGGAAGAAAACAUUUUGUUUAGACCUUUAAGAAAAUAUUGUUAGCAUCAGACCUCAACAAACAGAACUUGAAAAAAACUUAGAUGAGCUGAAAAUGAGUUGAAUGAGGGCAUUACUAUUUCAGAAGGGAAGAAAACAAAAAAAUGGUGAGAUGCAGUAAAAGUUGAACUUUGGGUUAAAAAAAUUAAAAUAUCUUAUAUUCUAUUGAGUAAAUCAAUCCCUUAGGAAAAUUUCAUUGUUCUAGGCAAUUAUUUAAUGUAUAAGUGUUUUUUUUUCAUCAAGCCCAAUCUCUAGAAAGAUUACUGUAAUUUCCUUUUAAUUAUAGACAACUUGAUCAUAUAAAAGGUUUUUUUUUUUUUUUUUUUGGACAAGAGUCUUGCUCUGUCGCCCAGGCUGAAGUAGUUCAGUGAUGUGAUCUCAUUUCACUGCAACUGCAACAUCUGCCUCCCAGGUUCAAGUGAUUCUCCUGCCUCAGCCUCCCGAAUGGGUGGGAUUACAGGCAUGCAUCACCAUACCUGGCUAAUUUUUGUAUUUUUAGUAGAGAUGGGGUUUUGCCAUGUUGGCCAGGCUGGUCUCCAGCUCCUGACCUCAGAUGAUCUGCCCACCUUGGCCUCCCAGAGUGCUGGGAUUACAGGCAUGAGCCACUGUGCCUGGCCUCUUUUUUUUUUUCUUUUCUUUGUUUUAAAAUAAAUCCUCUUAUUGUGACUUACACAGAGUGUUCAUGACUUGCACUUUCUGGUGUGUUCUAAACAUCCCUCUUUAAAUUUUUUUUUUUUUGAGAUGGAGUCUCACUCUGUCGCCCAGGCUGGAGUGCAAUGGUGUGAUCUCGGCUCCCUGCAACCUCUGCCUCCCGGGUUCAAGCGAUUCUCCUGCCUCAGCCCCCCCCGAGCAGCUGGGACUACAGGCACGUACCACCACGCCCAGCUAAUUUUUGUAUUUGAGUAGAGACGGGGUUUCAUCAUGUUGACCAGGAUGGUCUCGAUCUCUUGACCUCAUGAUCUGCCCACCUCGGCCUCCCAAAGUGCUGGGAUUACAGGCGUGAGCCACAGUGCCCGGCCUAAACAUCCCUCUUUCUUAAACAACCAGUCAUUUUAUUCUAGGACUAAAUCUACCAUACAGGAUUCUUUCUCAUAUAAAAUGAUUUCUUUUUAUUUAUUUAUUUAACCAAAAACAACCCUCUUUAUUUUGAUAACUUUCUUUACAUCUCUCUUAUUUCUUGGUCCCUUUUACCUCAUUUUAUAUGUAACCUUUAAAUAAACUUUGAAUUAGACAAAAAUUGUUCACCAUUUUUAAAAAGGACACUUUUUUUUCUAGCAAGAAUGUUUUCCUUCAAUUAUCUUAAUUGGAAAAUACUCAAAUAAUGAAAUAUCUAUUAUUUAAUUUAAUAUAACUUUAGACUCUAAAUUAUGACAAAUUUGUCAACAAGUAUUUAUCCCAUUACAUUUACAUAUUUUAUUUUAAUUGUUUACCUAGAUUAUUUAUGGAAACUGUGAUCAUUAUUGUUUAAAGUUAUGAAACCGCCAUUGCAAAAUUAUAACUGAAGCAGUGAAAAAGUUCUAACCUAACUGACUCCAUUUUGCUUCUUAACUCCAAGCUGUUCUUGUUCAUUCCUGGGCAUAGGCCAAACUAACUUUGGGAGAAACUUAUAGUUUAGCUUUGAAGCAAAGACAAUAACUGUCCUUUCCCCAACAAACCUCCUUACUGUUUGUGGACUCAAUUGUCUGAAGCCACAAGAUUAGAAGUUAUGGUAAUUUUACUGAAUAAUUCAAGAUGUAGCUAUUUUGAUUAAAUGAAUAUCAAUGUCUUAUUUAUUAAAAAUUACAUAAGCAAAGAUUAUUCUGUUUUGGGCUGGGUUUACAGUUUUGUAGCCCCUAUACCAAAUUUUGACAGCAAAUAGUAUUUGUCAGGGAUAAGUAUGAAAUUGCUUGAUUAGUAAAUGCAAACAAAAAUGUAUGCUGGCAAUUCUUAAGACAUUUCUAAUAUUACUUUACCAACAAUCUUAAAACAAACUUAUUUAUUAAAGAUUUAAAUUGUUAUGUAAACUUGAAAAA